Molecule: long non-coding RNA, 1329 nt
Filed under: Serinus canaria (Common canary)
Lineage: Eukaryota; Metazoa; Chordata; Aves; Passeriformes; Fringillidae
Description: lncRNA (ENSSCAG00000012970.1)
Source: RNAcentral
CUCCCACCUGUGCCCCUGCCCCGAGCUGUGCCUGCUCCUUCCCUCCCAAGCCGUGCCCAGGUGGGUGCCCACGGUGGGCACCAGCUGUGCCACAGCAGUGCCCGUGGGGCUCCUCACCUGCGUGGGGUUCCCCGACCACCUCCAGAGCUGGCGCGCGGGCAGGAAGGCGGAGAUCUUUGGCCGGUUUUCCACCGAGGGCAGGCGCUGCCGCCGGGAGAACUCUUUGGCUUUGGCGAAGCUGAGGGGAUCCUUGCGCUUGAGCUUGGCCUUGGGGCCGGCGGCGGCCGCCUUGGACAGGAAGCAGCGCUGGGGCGCGGCACCCUUGGGCCGCAGGGCGUCCGGCUGCGCCAGCAGCGCCGGCACUGGGUGCGACAGGCAGGUCUGCAGCAGCAGCGCCGAGUCCUCGUCCUCCGAGCUAUAGGAGGAGUCCUCAUUGUCGGAGGAACACAGGCUGGACGUGGAGAUGGAGCCGGAGCUGGACGAGGUGGAGGAGCCCGAGGAAGAGGAGGACAUGGAAAGGCGCGUCAUGAAGCGCGAGGGGACGUCGGCGCCGAGCCCGCCCGCGUCCUCGUCCUCGUCCAUGUCCGAGUAGGAGCUGUGGCAGUCGCUGUCACAGUUCAGGGCGAAGUCCCCGUGCCCCGAGUACUUGCGCAGCGCCAGCCCCACGGGCAGCGGGUGCGUGGCCCCGCGGCCCCGGCGCUCCCGGCCGCCCAGCCCGGUGUGGCCGUAGCCGUGGCUGCCCAGCGGCCGCUCCAGCCUGGCCCCGAAGUCCUUCUCGGCCAACAGCAGCGCCUUGCACGUCUUGUUCUUGGGGGAUGUCACCCCUUCGUGGUCCAGCUUGACCAGGAACUCGCCACCUGCCGCCUUCCUGCGCCCGCUCCUGCCCACCUCAGCCUCCAGCCGCUCGGCUUUCUUGGAGCGCAGGAGCUUCUGGGCCGCCGGCAGCACCAGCCCAGCACCGGCGCCGAAGGAGCCAUAGGAGCUGGCGAUGCGGCCAAAGGAGUCGGCACCGAAGGCGUUGCCGAAGACGGGGGCGGCGAGGUGGUGGUGGUGGUGGUGCAGAGGGAAGAGGGUCUCCUUGGCCCGCAGCUUCUUGGUGCUGCCGUUGACCUGGAAGAGGUUCUGGAGCACGGCCGAGCCCUUGUUCGCCGCCUUCCGCUUGGUCUGUGCCACGGCGGCCCAGCUGAGCAGGGACCCUCCACGCCGCCCGGCCGCCGAGUCCCCCAGCGCCGGCCCCCGGCCCCCCGACAGCCCCUCCAUGGCCUUGCCUGUGGAACACAGGGGUCAGGAGGCCACAAGAGCAGGGAGGGAGGGGUGCUCUGGGGCUGA